CUGGUGGUCCAAGGAGGGGCUUGUUCUUUAUGUUCCUCUUUGUUUUGUUCUUCUUUCAAUCCAUAUCAAGGUGAGUGCGUGACUAUGGCUGAUCUAAGCAUGUUUAACCUUUCUUAUGUGUGUUUGAUUGAUUUGGAUGGCUGGAUUUGUUUUGUGUGGCCAUGUUUGUGUGUUUUGGUUGCUGUUAUUGUAUGUUUGAGUGUUAGGGCUCAUGGCUGGAGCUUUUGAGGUGUUGGAUUCGUUCUCUGGGGAGUUGAGAGGCGAUUUUAGGGUUUCUGCGGGAUCGGUGUCGCUCGACACCAGUCUGGUGUCGCUCGACACCAAAUUUCUAGACAGUUUUUCUGGACAGCGUGUAUUUCGUGUCUUUUUAUGCCUGGUUUGUUUGUUCUGGUUAAUAUGAUACAUGUUAGAUUGGUUUAAUAUGCUUGUGUGUAUAGCCCAGUGGAUGGGAGGAUCGCUUCACUGAGUAUUUGUGAUAAUACUCACGCAUCUCAUUGUAUUUGUGGUGCAG
RNAcentral lists this long non-coding RNA (511 nucleotides) under Capsella rubella. RNAcentral's name for it is "long non-coding RNA (CRUB_LNC003956)". The record is from RNAcentral. Lineage: Eukaryota; Viridiplantae; Streptophyta; Magnoliopsida; Brassicales; Brassicaceae.